RNAcentral lists this ribosomal RNA (460 nucleotides) under uncultured bacterium. Its description in RNAcentral is "partial 16S ribosomal RNA". It matches the Rfam family "Bacterial small subunit ribosomal RNA", at positions 338 to 795 of the family's 1533-position model. The record is from RNAcentral.
CCUACGGGUAGCAGCAGUGAGGAAUAUUGGUCAAUGGACGAGAGUCUGAACCAGCCAAGUAGCGUGAAUGAUGACUGCCCUAUGGGCUGUAAACUUCUUUUACAAAGGAAUAAAACGAGUCACGUGUGCCUUUUUGCAUGUACUUUUUGAAUAAGGAUCGGCUAACUCCGUGCCAGCAGCCGCGGUAAUACGGAGGUGCCGAGCGUUAUCCGGAUUUAAUGGGUUUAAAGGGAGCGUAGAUGGGUGUUUAAGUCAGUUGUUAAAGUUUGCGGCUCAACCGUGGAAUUGCAAUUGAUACUGGCCGUCUUGAGUACAGUUGAGGUAGGCGGAAUUCGUGGUGUAGCGGUGAAAUGCUUAGAUAUCACGAGGAACCCCGAUUGCGAAGGCAGCUUACUAAACUGUGACUGACGUUGAUGCUCGAAAGUGUGGGUAUCAAACAGGAUUAGAUACCCCUGUAGUC